UACGGGGGGGGCAAGCGUUGUUCGGAAUUACUGGGCGUAAAGGGCUCGUAGGCGGCCAACUAAGUCAGACGUGAAAUCCCUCGGCUUAACCGGGGAACUGCGUCUGAUACUGGAUGGCUUGAGUUUGGGAGAGGGAUGCGGAAUUCCAGGUGUAGCGGUGAAAUGCGUAGAUAUCUGGAGGAACACCGGUGGCGAAGGCGGCAUCCGGGACCAACACUGACGAUGAGUGAGCGAAAGCCAGGGGAGCAAACGGG
This 254-nucleotide ribosomal RNA is filed under the name uncultured bacterium. RNAcentral describes it as "partial 16S ribosomal RNA". It matches the Rfam family "Bacterial small subunit ribosomal RNA", at positions 524 to 776 of the family's 1533-position model. The record is from RNAcentral.